UGGCGGACGGGUGAGUAACGCGUGGGCAACCUGGCCUGUACAGGGGGAUAACACUUAGAAAUAGGUGCUAAUACCGCAUAACGGGGGAAGCCGCAUGGCUUUUCCCUGAAAACUCCGGUGGUACAGGAUGGGCCCGCGUCUGAUUAGCCAGUUGGCAGGGUAACGGCCUACCAAAGCGACGAUCAGUAGCCGGCCUGAGAGGGCGGACGGCCACACUGGGACUGAGACACGGCCAGACUCCUACGGAAGGCAGCAG
Molecule: ribosomal RNA, 256 nt
Filed under: uncultured bacterium
Lineage: Bacteria
Description: partial 16S ribosomal RNA
Rfam family: Bacterial small subunit ribosomal RNA
Source: RNAcentral